AUUGAACGCUGGCGGCAUGCUUUACACAUGCAAGUCGAACGGUAACAGGCCUUCGGGUGCUGACGAGUGGCGAACGGGUGAGUAAUGCAUCGGAACGUGCCCAGAGGUGGGGGAUAACGCAGCGAAAGCUGUGCUAAUACCGCAUGUGAUCUGAGGAUGAAAGCGGGGGACCAGGCAGCAAUGUUUGGCCUCGCGCCUUUGGAGCGGCCGAUGUCAGAUUAGGUAGUUGGUGGGGUAAAGGCCUACCAAGCCGACGAUCUGUAGCUGGUCUGAGAGGACGACCAGCCACACUGGGACUGAGACACGGCCCAGACUCCUACGGGAGGCAGCAGUGGGGAAUUUUGGACAAUGGGCGCAAGCCUGAUCCAGCAAUGCCGCGUGCGGGAAGAAGGCCUUCGGGUUGUAAACCGCUUUUGUACGGAACGAAAAGGCUCUGGCUAAUACCUGGGGCUGAUGACGGUACCGUAAGAAUAAGCACCGGCUAACUACGUGC
RNAcentral lists this ribosomal RNA (493 nucleotides) under uncultured bacterium. Its description in RNAcentral is "partial 16S ribosomal RNA". It matches the Rfam family "Bacterial small subunit ribosomal RNA", at positions 30 to 508 of the family's 1533-position model. The record is from RNAcentral.